GCCGAUGUGGUGGCGCCGCGCCUGUCUAGUAAACAGGAGAUCCUGGGUUCGAAUCCCAGCGGUGCCU
This 67-nucleotide transfer RNA is filed under the name Tinamus guttatus (white-throated tinamou). It matches the Rfam family "tRNA". Rfam says of the family: Transfer RNA (tRNA) molecules are approximately 80 nucleotides in length. The record is from Rfam by way of RNAcentral. Lineage: Eukaryota; Metazoa; Chordata; Aves; Tinamiformes; Tinamidae.